GCCGCCUUAGCUCAGUUGGUAGAGCAACACUUUUGUAAAGUGAAGGUCCCCGGUUCGAGUCCGGGAGGCGGCU
This 73-nucleotide transfer RNA is filed under the name bacterium. Its description in RNAcentral is "tRNA-Thr". It matches the Rfam family "tRNA". From Rfam's summary of the family: Transfer RNA (tRNA) molecules are approximately 80 nucleotides in length. Their secondary structure includes four short double-helical elements and three loops (D, anti-codon, and T loops). The record is from RNAcentral. RNAcentral also lists the same sequence under 1 other name.